GAUUUACAUUUGAGUGAGUGGCGAACUGGUGAGUAACACGUGGGAAACCUGCCCAGAAGCGGGGGAUAACACCUGGAAACAGAUGCUAAUACCGCAUAACAACUUGGACCGCAUGGUCCGAGCUUGAAAGAUGGCUUCGGCUAUCACUUUUGGAUGGUCCCGCGGCGUAUUAGCUAGAUGGUGGGGUAACGGCUCACCAUGGCAAUGAUACGUAGCCGACCUGAGAGGGUAAUCGGCCACAUUGGGACUGAGACACGGCCCAAACUCCUACGGGAGGCAGCAGUAGGGAAUCUUCCACAAUGGACGAAAGUCUGAUGGAGCAACGCCGCGUGAGUGAAGAAGGGUUUCGGCUCGUAAAACUCUGUUGUUAAAGAAGAACAUAUCUGAGAGUAACUGUUCAGGUAUUGACGGUAUUUAACCAGAAAGCCACGGCUAACUACGUGCCAGCAGCCGCGGUAAUACGUAGGUGGCAAGCGUUGUCCGGAUUUAUUGGGCGUAAAGCGAGCGCAGGCGGUUUUUUAAGUCUGAUGUGAAAGCCUUCGGCUCAACCGAAGAAGUGCAUCGGAAACUGGGAAACUUGAGUGCAGAAGAGGACAGUGGAACUCCAUGUGUAGCGGUGAAAUGCGUAGAUAUAUGGAAGAACACCAGUGGCGAAGGCGGCUGUCUGGUCUGUAACUGACGCUGAGGCUCGAAAGUAUGGGUAGCAAACAGGAUUAGAUACCCUGGUAGUCCAUACCGUAAACGAUGAAUGCUAAGUGUUGGAGGGUUUCCGCCCUUCAGUGCUGCAGCUAACGCAUUAAGCAUUCCGCCUGGGGAGUACGGCCGCAAGGCUGAAACUCAAAGGAAUUGACGGGGGCCCGCACAAGCGGUGGAGCAUGUGGUUUAAUUCGAAGCUACGCGAAGAACCUUACCAGGUCUUGACAUACUAUGCAAAUCUAAGAGAUUAGACGUUCCCUUCGGGGACAUGGAUACAGGUGGUGCAUGGUUGUCGUCAGCUCGUGUCGUGAGAUGUUGGGUUAAGUCCCGCAACGAGCGCAACCCUUAUUAUCAGUUGCCAGCAUUAAGUUGGGCACUCUGGUGAGACUGCCGGUGACAAACCGGAGGAAGGUGGGGAUGACGUCAAAUCAUCAUGCCCCUUAUGACCUGGGCUACACACGUGCUACAAUGGAUGGUACAACGAGUUGCGAACUCGCGAGAGUAAGCUAAUCUCUUAAAGCCAUUCUCAGUUCGGAUUGUAGGCUGCAACUCGCCUACAUGAAGUCGGAAUCGCUAGUAAUCGCGGAUCAGCAUGCCGCGGUGAAUACGUUCCCGGGCCUUGUACACACCGCCCGUCACACCAUGAGAGUUUGUA
This 1351-nucleotide ribosomal RNA is filed under the name Lactiplantibacillus plantarum. RNAcentral describes it as "bacterial SSU rRNA". It matches the Rfam family "Bacterial small subunit ribosomal RNA", at positions 76 to 1416 of the family's 1533-position model. Lineage: Bacteria; Bacillati; Bacillota; Bacilli; Lactobacillales; Lactobacillaceae. The record is from RNAcentral.